AUGAACGCUGGCGGCGUGCCUAAUACCUGCCAGUCGCGCGAACAGACGAGGAGCUUGCUCCUCUGACGUUAGCGGCGGACGGGUGAGUAACACGUGGAUAACCUACCUAUAAGACUGGGAUAACUUCGGGAAACCGGAGCUAAUACCGGAUAAUAUAUUGAACCGCAUGGUUCAAUAGUGAAAGACGGUUUUGCUGUCACUUAUAGAUGGAUCCGCGCCGCAUUAGCUAGUUGGUAAGGUAACGGCUUACCAAGGCAACGAUGCGUAGCCGACCUGAGAGGGUGAUCGGCCACACUGGAACUGAGACACGGUCCAGACUCCUACGGGAGGCAGCAGUAGGGAAUCUUCCGCAAAGGGCGAAAGCCUGACGGAGCAACGCCGCGUGAGUGAUGAAGGUCUUCGGAUCGUAAAACUCUGUUAUUAGGGAAGAACAAAUGUGUAAGUAACUAUGCACGUCUUGACGGUACCUAAUCAGAAAGCCACGGCUAACUACGUG
Molecule: ribosomal RNA, 496 nt
Filed under: uncultured bacterium
Lineage: Bacteria
Description: partial 16S ribosomal RNA
Rfam family: Bacterial small subunit ribosomal RNA
Source: RNAcentral